CACUCCUACGGGAGGCAGCAGUGGGGAAUUUUGGACAAUGGGCGAAAGCCUGAUCCAGCAAUGCCGCGUGAGUGAAGAAGGCCUUCGGGUUGUAAAGCUCUUUUGUCAGGGAAGAAACGGUGAAAGCCAAUAUCUUUUGCUAAUGACGGUACCUGAAGAAUAAGCACCGGCUAACUACGUGCCAGCAGCCGCGGUAAUACGUAGGGUGCAAGCGUUAAUCGGAAUUACUGGGCGUAAAGCGUGCGCAGGCGGUUUUGUAAGUCUGAUGUGAAAUCCCCGGGCUCAACCUGGGAAUUGCAUUGGAGACUGCAAGGCUAGAAUCUGGCAGAGGGGGGUAGAAUUCCACGUGUAGCAGUGAAAUGCGUAGAUAUGUGGAGGAACACCGAUGGCGAAGGCAGCCCCCUGGGUCAAGAUUGACGCUCAUGCACGAAAGCGUGGGGAGCAAACAGGAUUAGAAACCCGUGUAGUCCCAU
RNAcentral lists this ribosomal RNA (473 nucleotides) under uncultured organism. RNAcentral describes it as "partial 16S ribosomal RNA". It matches the Rfam family "Bacterial small subunit ribosomal RNA", at positions 334 to 798 of the family's 1533-position model. The record is from RNAcentral.